Molecule: unclassified non-coding RNA, 222 nt
Filed under: Hevea brasiliensis (rubber tree)
Lineage: Eukaryota; Viridiplantae; Streptophyta; Magnoliopsida; Malpighiales; Euphorbiaceae
Source: RNAcentral
ACAAGAAAGGCUUUGACGGUACAGUUAUUUAAGUGACAAAAAAUGUGACAGAGGACCUGAAGAAGACAAACAAACAAUUGUUAGCAAUGUAAUAUAUUCAUCUUUUAUCUCUUUCUGCUUCUUUUCUUAUGAUUUAUUUAUAGCAAACUGUGCUUCCUCCCUCCCCCCAAGAUCUUGAAGUGAAAACGUGCAUUUAUGAACAAAAUUACCCUUCUCAUUGUA